UACGUAGGGGGCAAGCGUUGUCCGGAUUUAUUGGGCGUAAAGAGCGUGUAGGCGGCCUGGCAAGUCCGCUGUGAAAACUCGAGGCUCAACCUCGAGACGUCGGUGGAAACUGCCUGGCUAGAGUCCGGAAGAGGAGAGUGGAAUUCCUGGUGUAGCGGUGAAAUGCGCAGAUAUCAGGAAGAACACCCGUGGCUAAGGCGGCUCUCUAGUACGGUACUGACGCUGAGACGCGAAAGCGUGGGGAGCGAACAGG
This 253-nucleotide ribosomal RNA is filed under the name uncultured bacterium. Its description in RNAcentral is "partial 16S ribosomal RNA". It matches the Rfam family "Bacterial small subunit ribosomal RNA", at positions 524 to 776 of the family's 1533-position model. The record is from RNAcentral.